RNAcentral lists this ribosomal RNA (468 nucleotides) under uncultured bacterium. Its description in RNAcentral is "partial 16S ribosomal RNA". It matches the Rfam family "Bacterial small subunit ribosomal RNA", at positions 28 to 507 of the family's 1533-position model. The record is from RNAcentral.
GACGAACGCUGGCGGCGUGCUUAACACAUGCAAGUCGAACGGAAAGACCCUGCUUUUGUGGGGUGCUCGAGUGGCGAACGGGUGAGUAAAACGUGAGUAAACUGCCCCUGACUUUGGGAUAACUUCAGGAAACUGGGGAUAAUACCGGAUAGGAGCUACUGCUGCAUGGUGGGGGAUGGAAAGUUUCGGCGGUUGGGGAUGGAUUCGCGGCUUAUGAGCUUGAUAGUGGGGUAGGGGCGGUCCAAGGCUGUGACGGGUAGCCGGCCUGGGAGGGUGACCGGCGACAUGGGGCCUGAGGUACGGCGCAGACUCCUACGGGACGCAGCGGUGGGGAAUAUUGCGCAAUGGGCGCAAGCGUGAGGCAGCGGCGCCGCGUGCGUGAUGCCGGCCUUCGGGUGGUAAACCGCUUUCGCCUGUGACGAAGCGGGAGUGACGGUAACGGGUAAAGAAGCACCGGCUAACUACGUG